CAGCCGCCGCGGGAAUACGUAGGUGGCAAGCGUUGUCCGGAAUUAUUGGGCGUAAAGGGCUCGCAGGCGGUUUCUUAAGUCUGAUGUGAAAGCCCCCGGCUCAACCGGGGAGGGUCAUUGGAAACUGGGGAACUUGAGUGCAGAAGAGGAGAGCGGAAUUCCACGUGUAGCGGUGAAAUGCGUAGAGAUGUGGAGGAACACCAGUGGCGAAGGCGACUCUCUGGUCUGUAACUGACGCUGAGGAGCGAAAGCGUGGGGAGCGAACAGGAUUAGAUACCCCAGUAGUCCCUGUCUCUUAUAC
RNAcentral lists this ribosomal RNA (301 nucleotides) under uncultured bacterium. RNAcentral's name for it is "partial 16S ribosomal RNA". It matches the Rfam family "Bacterial small subunit ribosomal RNA", at positions 509 to 807 of the family's 1533-position model. The record is from RNAcentral.